RNAcentral lists this ribosomal RNA (497 nucleotides) under uncultured bacterium. RNAcentral describes it as "bacterial SSU rRNA". It matches the Rfam family "Bacterial small subunit ribosomal RNA", at positions 28 to 523 of the family's 1533-position model. The record is from RNAcentral.
GAUGAACGCUGGCGGCGUGCUUAACACAUGCAAGUCGAGCGAAGCACUCUGUCCGGAUUCUUCGGAAUGAAGAGUGAUUUGACUGAGCGGCGGACGGGUGAGUAACGCGUGGGCAACCUGCCUCAUACAGGGGGAUAACAGUUAGAAAUGACUGCUAAUACCGCAUAAGACCACAGUACCGCAUGGUAUGGUGGUAAAAACUCCGGUGGUAUGAGAUGGGCCCGCGUCUGAUUAGGUAGUUGGUGGGGUAACGGCCUACCAAGCCGACGAUCAGUAGCCGACCUGAGAGGGUGACCGGCCACAUUGGGACUGAGACACGGCCCAAACUCCUACGGGAGGCAGCAGUGGGGAAUAUUGCACAAAUGGGGAAAACCUGAUGCAGCGACGCCGCGUGAAGGAUGAAGUAUUUCGGUAUGUAAACUUCUAUCAGCAGGGAAGAAAAUGACGGUACCUGACUAAGAAGCCCCGGCUAAACUACGUGCCAGCCGCCGCGGUAA